UGGCUCAGGACGAACGCUGGCGGCGUGCCUAAUACAUGCAAGUCGAGCGAGCUUGCCUAGAUGAAUUUGGUGCUUGCACCAAAUGAAACUAGAUACAAGCGAGCGGCGGACGGGUGAGUAACACGUGGGUAACCUGCCCAAGAGACUGGGAUAACACCUGGAAACAGAUGCUAAUACCGGAUAACAACACUAGACGCAUGUCUAGAGUUUAAAAGAUGGUUCUGCUAUCACUCUUGGAUGGACCUGCGGUGCAUUAGCUAGUUGGUAAGGUAACGGCUUACCGAGGCAAUGAUGCAUAGCCGAGUUGAGAGACUGAUCGGCCACAUUGGGACUGAGACACGGCCCAAACUCCUACGGGAGGCAGCAGUAGGGAAUCUUCCACAAUGGACGCAAGUCUGAUGGAGCAACGCCGCGUGAGUGAAGAAGGGUUUCGGCUCGUAAAGCUCUGUUGGUAGUGAAGAAAGAUAGAGGUAGUAACUGGCCUUUAUUUGACGGUAAUUACUUAGAAAGUCACGGCUAACUACGUGCCAGCAGCCGCGGUAAUACGUAGGUGGCAAGCGUUGUCCGGAUUUAUUGGGCGUAAAGCGAGUGCAGGCGGUUCAAUAAGUCUGAUGUGAAAGCCUUCGGCUCAACCGGAGAAUUGCAUCAGAAACUGUUGAACUUGAGU
RNAcentral lists this ribosomal RNA (667 nucleotides) under Lactobacillus gasseri. RNAcentral describes it as "bacterial SSU rRNA". It matches the Rfam family "Bacterial small subunit ribosomal RNA", at positions 20 to 647 of the family's 1533-position model. The record is from RNAcentral. Lineage: Bacteria; Bacillati; Bacillota; Bacilli; Lactobacillales; Lactobacillaceae.